CAGUAGCCGCGGUAAUACGAAGGGGACUAGCGUUGCUCGGAAUCACUGGGCGUAAAGGGUGCGUAGGCGGGUCUUUAAGUCAGGGGUGAAAUCCUGGAGCCCAACUCCAGAACUGCCUUUGAUACUGAAGAUCUUGAGUUCGGGAGAGGUGAGUGGAACUGCGAGUGUAGAGGUGAAAUUCGUAGAUAUUCGCAAGAACACCGGUGGCGAAGGCGGCUCACUGGCCCGAUACUGACGCUGAGGCACGAAAGCGUGGGGAGCAAACAGGAUUAGAUACCCCCGUAGUCCCUGUCUCUUAUAC
Molecule: ribosomal RNA, 301 nt
Filed under: uncultured bacterium
Lineage: Bacteria
Description: partial 16S ribosomal RNA
Rfam family: Bacterial small subunit ribosomal RNA
Source: RNAcentral